GAUGAACGCUGGCGGCGUGCCUAAUACAUGCAAGUCGAGCGAACGGACUAGAAGCUUGCUUCUCUGGUGUUAGCGGCGGACGGGUGAGUAACACGUGGAUAACCUACCUAUAAGACUGGGAUAACUUCGGGAAACCGUAGCUAAUACCGGAUAAUAUUUUGAACCGCAUGGUUCAAAAGUGAAAGACGGUCUUGCUGUCACUUAUAGAUGGAUCCGCGCUGCAUUAGCUAGUUGGUAAGGUAACGGCUUACCAAGGCAACGAUGCAUAGCCGACCUGAGAGGGUGAUCGGCCACACUGGAACUGAGACACGGUCCAGACUCCUACGGGAGGCAGCAGUAGGGAAUCUUCCGCAAUGGGCGAAAGCCUGACGGAGCAACGCCGCGUGAGUGAUGAAGGUCUUCGGAUCGUAAAACUCUGUUAUUAGGGAAGAACAUAUGUGUAAGUAACUGUGCACAUCUUGACGGUACCUAAUCAGAAAGCCACGGCUAACUACGUG
Molecule: ribosomal RNA, 497 nt
Filed under: uncultured bacterium
Lineage: Bacteria
Description: partial 16S ribosomal RNA
Rfam family: Bacterial small subunit ribosomal RNA
Source: RNAcentral